CAGGUCCCUUGUGUAGCUCCAGAGAAAGCUCUGCGUGAAGUCUCCACACAACCAGAACUCAACAUUUAAAGGCGGCCGUUUGAAAUAUCAGAGAGGACAGCUUCAGUUCUUCUUUCAUUUCAUUCAUAACUAACAAUGGCUGCUUCUGUUGCUGAACUGCAGAGACGAGAAUUAUUCCUGGUAGAGGAAGAUCCUUUCAGAUAUAAUGCUUUCGAGAUGAUCUAUGAAAUGAUAAUGAUGUGUACAGAUGAUACUACAGGGUUAGUGGAUGAGGUUCUUCACAGCAUAUUCUUUUUGGGAAAGACCAACAUACUGAUAUUUUCCCAGAAAAAUAUUG
Molecule: long non-coding RNA, 337 nt
Organism: Perca fluviatilis (European perch)
Lineage: Eukaryota; Metazoa; Chordata; Actinopteri; Perciformes; Percidae
Exons: 4
Source: RefSeq, a predicted model, not a curated record